GAUGAACGCUGGCGGCGUGCUUAACACAUGCAAGUCGAGCGAGAAGUUUUGAAAAGAUUCUUCGGAUGAAAUUUAAAAUGGAAAGCGGCGGACGGGUGAGUAACGCGUAGGCAACCUGCCCCAUACAAAGGGAUAGCAUUUGGAAACGAAUAUUAAUACCUUAUGAAACUUAACUAGUGCAUGCUAGGUAGGUCAAAGAUUUAUCGGUAUGGGAUGGGCCUGCGUCUGAUUAGCUAGUUGGUGAGGUAACGGCUCACCAAGGCGACGAUCAGUAGCCGAGCUGAGGAGGUGAACGGCCACAUUGGAACUGAGGCACGGUCCAAACUCCUACGGGAGGCAGCGGUGGCGUAUAUUGCCCAAUGGGGGUAACCCUGAUGCAGCUACGCCGCGUGAACGAUGAAGGCCUUUGGGUCGUAAAGUUCUGUUUUAGGGGAUGAAAACUGACAGUAACCUAGGAGAAAGCCCCGGCUAACUCCGUG
This 479-nucleotide ribosomal RNA is filed under the name uncultured bacterium. RNAcentral describes it as "partial 16S ribosomal RNA". It matches the Rfam family "Bacterial small subunit ribosomal RNA", at positions 28 to 507 of the family's 1533-position model. The record is from RNAcentral.